Oikopleura dioica is the source of this 80-nucleotide ribosomal RNA. It matches the Rfam family "Eukaryotic large subunit ribosomal RNA", at positions 24 to 103 of the family's 3401-position model. The record is from Rfam. NCBI's taxonomy places the organism in Eukaryota, Metazoa, Chordata, Appendicularia, Copelata, Oikopleuridae.
CUCGCUGAAUUUAAGCAUAUUAUUAAGCAAAGGAAAAGAAACUAACAAGUAUUCACCCAGUAAUGGCGAAUAAACAGGGA